This 4758-nucleotide long non-coding RNA is filed under the name Sorghum bicolor (sorghum). RNAcentral describes it as "long non-coding RNA (SBIC_LNC001342)". The record is from RNAcentral. Lineage: Eukaryota; Viridiplantae; Streptophyta; Magnoliopsida; Poales; Poaceae.
CUCUUCUGCUGCACCACAAAGAAUUCUCCUCAUGGCAUCGCACCUUGCCCUGAGAGAUGCUAGGGAGAGAAGCAUCUACGACAAGCUAAAGACAGGAGCUUUGUACGCACGCCAGUCCUUGAUGAAGUAUUUCUUUGUGAAGCAGGUAUGGCCACUGAACUCAAUACUAUCUUUCAGUUUGUUGGAUGGAGUUCUUUUGCAACCAUUACUGAGUUAGGGUCUAUGUCUAAGCUUUUAACCAUAGAAUUUCUUUGCACCCUACAACUUAUAGAAACAAGAAUUUAUUUUAGAUUGUUUACCUAAGAAUUCUGUUUCACAUGGAGAAACCUUAGUGAUCUUUUAGGCUUCCUUCCAAACACAUGCAUAGACUUAGAAGAGUCCUUAAAAGAUUAUGACACCCAUAAAUUUUGGACUGAUAUUUCUAAAGAGCCCUUCUUUCAUAGCAACCGAACAAGAGACAUUGAGCACCCCACACUCAGGUUUUUACAUAAGUGGUUGGGCACAGCUUUCUUCCCCCGGGAUGACGCUAGCAAAAUAAGAGUCAUAGAUUUACUACUGAUGUAUAUAGCAGUAAAGAAAAUUAGAGUGUCUCCUAUGCAUACUUUGGUAGAAUACUGGUUAAGUACCUGAUUACAAAGUAGGGGAUGUGGCUAUUUGCUCAAUUAUCACUAGUUUAGCUAUUAAUCUUAAAUUACUUGAUGAUGCUUUUUUAGAUUUUAUUGAUACACAUAGGCAAAUUUAUGGUUAUGAACACUUCAAUCAUGCUCACAUAGUAAAAAGAAUAAAAAGAGAAUUAUUUAUGACCUAUGGUGAGACCAAGCUCCGGUUACCUAACUCGGAGAUGGCAUUGUAUUCUGUCCAGACAUUGCACAUUGAAUUUUAGGCUAGACCGAUAAACAGGAGGGGUACAGCUCCUCAGAGAGCACCUCAGAGGACAGCCUCUGAGAGAUUCACAUGUCAACACGAGCCUGUCUGGCUCGGAGCUGAUCCCGUUCGAGAGGAGCCAGCACACACCAGUUAUGAUGACUGGCAAGCUCGCCAGCGUCAUAUACUGAACCUAGAGAUGUAUCCUCCAUACCAUCCAGCCUAUCAGCCAUAUGGGUACUAUCAGCCGCCACCAUUUGUCCCUACUAGGGAAGGAACUGCAGGCGAAGCACUAAGGCAUUCAUUUGAUGCCUAUGGUAUGAGGAUGGAAGAAGAAGAACCAAGAAAUGAUUUUGAGCAAGGACGCAGGUCUGAUGCUACUAGGUUCUUUUAUACCCAGUAGCAUAUGAUGAACCAAUCGAUUUCCAAAACUACAUCAACACUUCUCUUGCUCAUAAUGAGCAGAAUUAGAAUGAGCAGCGCUAGUGGAAUCAGAACACCACUCAGACUCUGGCCACCAUUAGAGAAGGACAAGACCAAGUAAAUAGCACUUUAAAUGAUAUCUUCAUGUUCCUGCAAAUCCCGAAAGAAGACUAGCUUGGGGGAGGACCCCCGUUGUCAAGGUAAGUUUUCUUUCUCUUCAUUUCAAUUUAUUUUCUUUUAUUGCAUAUACAAAAUAAAUAUUUUGCUGUUUAAUUUAGUGUUUAAGUUUGAGUUUGUUUAAAAAUGAAAACCAAAUAAAAAUAGUGUGUAAUAUAAAUUUGUUUUAUUUUUCUAUUAAGUUUGCUAUAAAUAAAAUAUGUAGAGAUGAAGAAUGUAUGAUGGAAAUGAUGAAUAGUUGCUCUAUCGUAAUUUUUUUUGAAGUACCUAGUUUCAAAUUUGAGUUCUCCCAAGGAUUGGAUACACUAUUUGACAACUGAAUUUACUCUACUCUUUAAACAUGUGGGAACAUAUGCUUAAACUAAGUCUAGGUAGUUGAUGGAUAUGAUAUGAUAUAGUCUGAGCUAUUGUUUAUUAUGUUCUUAGUGCUACUAAAUUCUAGAGAUUUGUUUUGCAAAAAUUUAAAAAUAUUUCAUGAUGAGUUCUAUGUAUGACAGAGAGUACAAAAUUCCGACCACAGCCAUAUUUAUUUAAAAAAGGAAGCCUCCACAUAUUUGUAGGUCUUAUGUUUGCUCGAGCUGUGUUGACCCUUAGGAACUCAUCAUGUUGCUAAUCCCAAUAUCACACACACUCAUUUUCACCCUUUGCUGCUUCUACUCUGGAAGUACGCACCACAUAUAUUCCAUCUUCACCUAUUUAAAAAUGUUCCACUCUUACACUGAUAGUGAACACGAAAAAAUAUUUUCCCCUAUUCAUUUGCUAGACAUUUACUUCAAGUUCAAUGCUCCAAGUUUCAUUUUUCUUCCUCUACAAAUUUUCAAAAAGAGAGUUAUUUGGCUACAAGAAAAAUAUUGGACAAAAGUCCCAUGUAAAAAAAGGAAGAGAAAAAGAUCCAUGAGCCCAAGAUUAUCAUCAAGUUUUUAUAUUUCAAAGUUAGAGGAAUCAUUUUAAAUAAAAGAGCAUUAGAAUUAUUUUUCACCCCUUCUCCUUCCACAAAUAUUCUCUAGUUUAGCAGCCACAUAUAAAACCACACAUGCACAACCGGUUGGUUUUGUGGUGAGUUUAUUUGGAUCCAUGGUUUGAUCAGACCCAAUGCAUUAGUUAUCUCCACACAUGUGAGCUCCACAUAAGCUUUAUUAGAUAUAGGGUGAGAGAGAGUAAAGGUUGUAUAAAAUGACUUGUGCCACAAAUACCACAUAUUGAGAGACUUGAAAGGGUCAUACUACAGAACUCUGAGUUUUAUUUUUAAAAUCUUAUAAAAACUCCAGAACAGAGGUGGAACAACAGAGCAUGAGACAAUAGUGCUUGACUUAAUUGUUCUGUCUUUCAACUGCUCAAGACCUAAAUAUAAGUAAAAGUCCCAUGGUUGGAAGAAACAUGCGUAAGUUUGGGAUGAGUUCUUAUUUAAAGCAUGUGUACUUGUAAAGUGUGAAAGCAUUGUAGCAACUCCUGAUCCAUCUCUUAUAGCAAUUUGCUUAGGGACGAGCAAAAGAUAAGCUUGGGAGAGUUUGUUGAUGGUUUUAACCAUCAAAUUUAUAUAUAAACUAAGGAGAAGAAAGGGGAUAAAAACUGAACAUCACCAUAGACUUAGGGUUUUCACUAACAAUUUCCACGAGUUUUGGUGAAUGUCUGUUUCUGCAGGGGGUUAUCAGAAAAUAACCAAAAGGAGGUCCACACGUCAGAUUUACAUAGAGAGAAGACCCCGUCGGUAACUCAGGAAUACUCUAGAAGACUCAGGAAGAUAGCACCCCAGAGUUGGGGCCCACCUGUCAUUGGGCAGGGGUGGGCGCUGAAGCCCUAGGGGCGGCCGCCCGGGGUUACCCACCAAUCAGGUGCAACCUCGUGGAUCUUGCCUCUAUCGCCUUUGAGGAGUAAUCUUGGCCAUCAAUCAAGGUCGGUUUGAUCCGAGGGCUGUGGUGCUUCCUAGGAGGCUAUAAAUACAACCCUGACCCCCUAGAGGAGAGCUUAGAAUAAGAAAAACAUAAUUAUUUUUAUUCUCAUAUGAGAAUUAGAGGUAGCCAUUAGAGCUAGGGAUUAGAGAUCUCUCCACCAGAGAAUUAGAUUAGCUACUCCUAAUCUUCAUCUUCUAUAUAGGUUUAGACUAGAUAGAGAAAGAGUCGGGCGCCUGUGCUAGGAAUUUCUAGAUCUUCAUCAUCAAAUAUUAGUAUUAUCUUAUAUGUUUCUUUUGACUUUAUUCUAAAUAUCAUUAUGUUUCUAUUUAUGAUGUUCCUAGUUUAUUCUAGUUCUACAUUUGAUAUGGUUAUGAUUGAUAAUGAGUUUAUGUAUAUGUUUGCAAAGCGCUUAGCUCUCUUCGCGGGAGGGUUAGGUGAUAGAUGUCAUAUAAGCAUGGUGCUUAGAUGUCGUUUAUCAACAAUUACACCCUAUUGGUUGGGUCGCGUGAUAGAUCGCAGAAGUGACAGUUCUGUUGAGUCCUCUGUAUUCCAUCCCCGUUGGUAGGACAGGUAGAACCGCAGUUGCGUAGGAAGUCCAGCUAUGUCUUGGCUUUUUUAUAGCAAUGUUUCUUAUACAUAAAUGAAGAGUCUUUUAUGCUAUAUAUGAUAGUGUAGUAUUAGGAUAGAUGAAUGACUUGGUAAAUUAGAACUACUUAGGUUUUUCUAUCUCUUGAACUAAUCAGGCGUCUACCUACUAUUAUGCUGAGUAGUCUACAUCUAAUCUCUGUGUGAUUUAUCCCCUGAUCUUUUAUACUUUAUAUCAUUUAUUUAUCAUGGUUUACCCUCCUGCCAAGUAUGUGACUGUAACCCAAUCACUCAUAAGUAGUCAUAUUUUAUAAGUUUAUCUCAUUGUUUAAGUCUUUAGUUCUUUUCCUUGAGCUAAAUAUAAAUAACGAUACCUGGAAUACUUAUCUGUGAAGUUCUACAAUGGUAUUUAAUCUGUACGUUUGCAGAUCUUAUAUUUAUUUUAUUAGUGGGCAGUUUUUAUACCACACUUUCUGUCGUCAUGCUAGGGAUGACAACUUAGCUUAAGUGAUGUUAGAAGUGUCAACAAUGAUCCAUGCAACAAGCUUUACAGGGAUGGAAAAGUCAAACAUGGCAAGUAAAGCACCUAAGCCAGCCUCUUGUAUCCACCCUAUUUGAUCUUGAUUGAAUUUGUGCUCACGUAUGUGGACACGGAUCCUAUGCAAUGAAAAUCGGGUUUUAAAGGCCUCGCCAUUACUUUUGCAUUUGGUUUUGGGAACAUUAAUUGUUGUGUAAAAAUGAGAAAAAGAACUGCAUAUUAAAAUUAAAUUCGAAAAUUGCGGUAUACAACAUAUGAAGAAGGCAUGAAACAAUGGAC